UACGUAGGGGGCAAGCGUUGUCCGGAAUCAUUGGGCGUAAAGCGCGUGUAGGCGGUCCGGUAAGUCCGCUGUGAAAGUCGGGGGCUCAACGCUCGGAUGCCGGUGGAUACUGUCGGGCUUGAGUACGGAAGAGGCGAGUGGAAUUCCUGGUGUAGCGGUGAAAUGCGCAGAUAUCAGGAGGAACACCAAUUGCGAAGGCAGCUCGCUGGGACGUUACUGACGCUGAGACGCGAAAGCGUGGGGAGCGAACAGG
RNAcentral lists this ribosomal RNA (253 nucleotides) under uncultured bacterium. RNAcentral's name for it is "partial 16S ribosomal RNA". It matches the Rfam family "Bacterial small subunit ribosomal RNA", at positions 524 to 776 of the family's 1533-position model. The record is from RNAcentral.